RNAcentral lists this unclassified non-coding RNA (326 nucleotides) under soil metagenome. RNAcentral describes it as "partial contains 5.8S ribosomal RNA, internal transcribed spacer 2, and large subunit ribosomal RNA". The stretch from base 1 to 119 matches the Rfam family "5.8S ribosomal RNA", at positions 35 to 154 of the family's 154-position model. The record is from RNAcentral.
GAUGAAGAACGCAGCGAAAUGCGAUACGUAAUGUGAAUUGCAAAUUCAGUGAAUCAUCGAGUCUUUGAACGCACAUUGCGCCCCCUGGUAUUCCGGGGGGCAUGCCUGUCCGAGCGUCAUUACAACCCUCAAGCCUAGCUUGGUAUUGGGCCCCGCCGCCUGGCGGGCCCUAAAGUCAGUGGCGGUGCCGUCCAGCUCCGAGCGUAGUAAUUCUUCUCGCUCUGGAGGCCUGGGCGCGUGCCUGCCAUCAACCCCCAAUUUUAUCAGGUUGACCUCGGAUCAGGUAGGGAUACCCGCUGAACUUAAGCAUAUCAAUAAGCGGAGGA